CCCCCUGCGUACGCCGCAAGCGGAGAACCGGCUCGGGGUCGCACCCAGUUGACGGCGGCCGAGUCUCGAAGGACUACCGCGUAUAUCAUGACGGAGAUCACAAUCAACAAUAGCCAGACGACAACGACCAGGAAGAUGAUGACUGAAGAGCUGAAACACC
This is a long non-coding RNA of Tupaia belangeri chinensis (Chinese tree shrew), 160 nucleotides long. RefSeq lists it as uncharacterized. The record is from RefSeq and is a predicted model, not a curated record. Lineage: Eukaryota; Metazoa; Chordata; Mammalia; Scandentia; Tupaiidae. The transcript is spliced from 3 exons.